Molecule: ribosomal RNA, 386 nt
Filed under: uncultured bacterium Px2-DGGE band b
Lineage: Bacteria
Description: bacterial SSU rRNA
Rfam family: Bacterial small subunit ribosomal RNA
Source: RNAcentral
CUAGCUAANGCCGGUGAAAGCCGGUGUCCAGCAAUGGGAGCUAGUACAGAUGCUGCAUGGCUGUCGUCAGCUCGUGCCGUGAGGUGUGGGGUUAAGUCCCGCAACGAGCGCAACCCCUGUUUCUAGUUGCCACCGGGUAAUGCCGAGCACUCUAGAAAGACUGCCUACGCAAGUAGUGAGGAAGGUGGGGAUGACGUCAAGUCCGCAUGGCUCUUACGCCUAGGGCCACACACGUGCUACAAUGGCCACUACAAAGGGCUGCAAUACCGCGAGGUGGAGCUAAUCCCUAAAAAGUGGUCUCAGUUCGGAUUGGAGUCUGAAACUCGACUCCCAUGAAGCUGGAAUUGCUAGUAAUCGCGCAUCARCACGGCGCGGUGAAUACGUUC